GAUUAGUGGCGGACGGGUGAGUAACGCGUGAGUAACCUGCCUUAGAGAUGGGGAUAGCCUCUGGAAACGGAGAAUAAUACCCAAUGAUACCAAGUUAUCGCAUGAUAGCUUGGUCAAAGAUUUAUCGCUCUAAGAUGGACUUGCGUCUGAUUAGCUAGUUGGUGAGAUAAUAGCUCACCAAGGCAACGAUCAGUAGCCGGCUUGAGAGAGUGUACGGCCACAUUGGGACUGAGACACGGCCCAGACUCC
RNAcentral lists this ribosomal RNA (249 nucleotides) under uncultured Anaerococcus sp. RNAcentral's name for it is "partial 16S ribosomal RNA". It matches the Rfam family "Bacterial small subunit ribosomal RNA", at positions 90 to 339 of the family's 1533-position model. Lineage: Bacteria; Bacillati; Bacillota; Tissierellia; Tissierellales; Peptoniphilaceae. The record is from RNAcentral.